RNAcentral lists this ribosomal RNA (246 nucleotides) under uncultured bacterium. RNAcentral describes it as "partial 16S ribosomal RNA". It matches the Rfam family "Bacterial small subunit ribosomal RNA", at positions 547 to 776 of the family's 1533-position model. The record is from RNAcentral.
UCCGUAGCAGAAACCCGGAAUCACUGGGCGUAAAGGGAGCGUAGGUGGCCUAACAUGUCAACUGUGAAAACCCGGAGCUCAACUCCGGACUUGCAGUUGAAACUGGUAGGCUUGAGGACGGUAGAGGAAGACGGAACUGCCAGUGUAGGGGUAAAAUCCUUAGAUAUUGGCAGGAACGCCGGUGACGAAGGUGGUUUUCUGGGCCGGUUCUGACACUGAUGCUCGAAAGCCAGGGGAGCGAACGGG